This 331-nucleotide unclassified non-coding RNA is filed under the name soil metagenome. Its description in RNAcentral is "partial contains 5.8S ribosomal RNA, internal transcribed spacer 2, and large subunit ribosomal RNA". The stretch from base 1 to 120 matches the Rfam family "5.8S ribosomal RNA", at positions 35 to 154 of the family's 154-position model. The record is from RNAcentral.
GAUGAAGAACGCAGCAAAAUGCGAUAAGUAAUGUGAAUUGCAGAAUUCAGUGAAUCAUCGAAUCUUUGAACGCACAUUGCGCCCCCUGGUAUUCCGGGGGGCAUGCCUGUUCGAGCGUCAUUUCACCACUCAAGCCUCGCUUGGUAUUGGGCAACGCGGUCCGCCGCGUGCCUCAAAUCGACCGGCUGGGUCUUCUGUCCCCUAAGCGUUGUGGAAACUAUUCGCUAAAGGGUGUUCGGGAGGCUACGCCGUAAAACAACCCCAUUUCUAAGGUUGACCUCGGAUCAGGUAGGGAUACCCGCUGAACUUAAGCAUAUCAAUAAGCGGAGGA